UCAAGUGAAGAACCUUAACGGAUCUGUGAAGAUGGUCACCAUGGUGGUUUUUCUUCUGGCUUUUGUUGGAGCGGCAUCUUCAGAACUCAGACGGAGCUGUGACCCGGAGCAAGGACAAGAAACGCUGACUCUUUGCUCAAAUUACAAAAACAUUUUACACCUCUGAUGUUCAGACAAAACUUGAAGAGAACCAAAUGCUGCUGCGAGACAGGAUUGACGCUAUGGAAGGUAGGACCGGACUGCAGCUUGAUUCUGCAAGCGGCAACAUUAGUGCGCUUGAAAGGUUAAUGACAAAUGUUUCAAACGCACAAAAGGACCUAGAAGAGAUGGCGUCACAAACUGAGAUGGAGUUGAGAGAUGCAAAGACAAAGCUGGAGGAACAGGAAGUUGACAUUGCCAGCCUGAAGAGAGAAGUUGGAGAACUGGUCAAACACGGGGAGAGAGUCAGUGGAAACAUCAGUGAGAUUGAGGAGAGACUUGAUACAACUGAGAGCAGUUAAGGGAGAGAAACUUGAAAAUCUGGAGUCAGAAACUGGGGCUGCGUUCAAUGCCACACAGAAACUGCUGACUCUAUGCAAGAAGGAACUCUCCCACCUUAACUCGACGGCCCGGGAGCUUGAAGUCAAAGUCGAAGCCCUACUGAAUCCCACGGAGACGCAACUUGAAGCUAACCUGACGGAAAUACAAAAUGACAGCGGAGAACCCAGAACUGAAGAAAGUGAACUCUCAUUAGAGGCGAUGCGCCUUACAGCAGAAGUCAAUGCCAAGGUGGCCUUUUCUGCAACUAUAAUCGAAUCCAACGAUGCGUUCACUGGACCCGGCACGAACGGCACCAACAAUAUUCUCAUCUAUAACAGUCUUCACAAAUGUUGGCUUCGAUUACAACAGUAAAACAGGAGCCAUCCUGGUGAAGAACAGGAAUUACCAAGUGAGCACCUGGGAAUUCACUGGCUCAGAUAACAGCGGCAACACGGUAAUCCUUGAGCUGGAUGUCGGAGAGACCGUCAACGGCAUCCUGUGGAAGGGUGGAAAAAUGCUUAAGUGGGUUCCUCAUCUUCCCAACAUUGUAGAUUUUAGAAUAGAAUGAGAUGCCAUGGCUUGUUCAGGGAUGCUCGUCUCAAUCUGUUCU
This is a long non-coding RNA of Anarrhichthys ocellatus (wolf-eel), 1129 nucleotides long. RefSeq lists it as uncharacterized. The record is from RefSeq and is a predicted model, not a curated record. The transcript is spliced from 4 exons. Lineage: Eukaryota; Metazoa; Chordata; Actinopteri; Perciformes; Anarhichadidae.